This 209-nucleotide long non-coding RNA is filed under the name Lathyrus oleraceus (garden pea). Its description in RNAcentral is "Pisum sativum (pea) long non-coding RNA (PSAT_LNC003056)". Lineage: Eukaryota; Viridiplantae; Streptophyta; Magnoliopsida; Fabales; Fabaceae. The record is from RNAcentral.
UCAUGUAGUCUGGAAGACCUGGCCUGUUACUUGGCCAGGCACCUGUCUGAAGUCCUCCUUAAGAGGCGAUGUUUGUGAUUGUUUAAUUUUGUCCCCAAGCAGGAAAAGACCUUGAUUAAGGCAAUUGGAAGAACCCAAGGGAUGUGCAAUCCAUCCCCAGCUAUUCUUGUUGAGUCGUCCCUCUGCUCACACCACUGUGUUGAUGCAUU